ACGGUCCUACGGGGCGCAGCAGUGAGGAAUAUUGGUCAAUGGCCGUAAGGCUGAACCAGCCAAGUCGCGUGAGGGAUGACGGUACUAUGGAUUGUAAACCUCUUUUGUCGGGGAGCAAAGGACGCCACGGGUGGUGUUUUGCGAGUACCCGAAGAAAAAGCAUCGGCUAACUCCGCGCCAGCAGCCGCGGCAAUACGGACGAUGCGAGCGUUAUUCGGAUUUAUUGGGUUUAAAGGGUGCGCAGGCGGAAUGUCAAGUCAGAGGUAAAAUUUCGGG
This 276-nucleotide ribosomal RNA is filed under the name uncultured bacterium. RNAcentral's name for it is "partial 16S ribosomal RNA". It matches the Rfam family "Bacterial small subunit ribosomal RNA", at positions 333 to 606 of the family's 1533-position model. The record is from RNAcentral.